UAAGUUCUGGCCAUCCCAAAGUAGAUGUACUGUGUUUAUGCUUGAUGAAAAAUUUCACUUGAUGUUAAAUUUUUGAGUAGUUUCACUGUCUAAAUCCAGAUAGGCAGCUGUUUUCUUUUAGCACAUAAAAGAAUGUUAUUCUGUUUCCUGGUGCCCAGUAUUUCUAAUAGCACACCAGUUCUUUGCCUCCUGCUCACUUGGAUAUGAUAACUCUUUUAUUUGGGGCAGGCUUUAGAACUCCUUUCCGUACUUGGCAUUUUUGAAUGUACUUAAUUCAGCUAUUUUUUUGGGCUUCUGCAGUCAUAACACUGACAUAUCAAUGCUUCUCAGUUCUCACAACUUUCUAGUUAUUAAGUCAAAGAACAGACUGCUUCAAAGUCAUUUUAAGGGAUGAGAAGAUAUGUGAGUUGGUAAAGUACUUGAUUGCUUUGCAAGCAUGAGGACCUGACUUUGCUCCCUACAGUUAUGUAAGAGAUCUGUGUUCCGAGGCACACACUUGUAAUCCCAGCACCAGGGGUAGAAGGUAGAGACAGGUAUUCUUGGGGCUCACUGCCCAGCCAAUUUAGACUUCCUGACAAUCCCCAGACCAAAGAGAGACCUUGUCUCAAACAACAAACAAACAAACAAACAAACAAACAAACAAACAAACGGAUGUGGGUGGCACCUGAGGAAUGACACUUGAGGUUGACUUGGACCUUCAUGUACACAGGUCCCAUAAGCAGGCAUACCCCUGUACAUGUAUCCUAACAUGCAAACGCGCACGCACACAAACGUGAAACUGACCAGUUUUUACAUUCAUGGGAAAUUGAGCAGGCAGUGCUGAGUUCCCUUAUAUUUCAGUGUUACUGAUCUGCAAGUAAGGUCUGGCUACAUUCUCCCCUCCCUUUCCUUCGGGAGUUCUCAUUACUGUAUCUUCUGGGGUUUUUUUGGCUCUAUUUUUUCUCUCCGUCUACACACCAUCCUUAAGAUCUUUCAUCACAUGGAAAUUCUAAAUUGAACAGGAGGCACUUUCGAGAUGUGCUUUCAUUCAGUAGUCCAGGCUGGCUGGAAACUUAGAUAUCCCAAGCUGGCUUUGAACUCAUUCUAGUCCUUUUAUGUCAGCCUCUAGAGUGGAGCACUUACAGGCACACACCACCACAAUCUGGCCUUGUGGUGGGUUUGAAGCCUAAGAGUUUAAUCAAAGUAUUCCCUUUACCUUUAAUGAUGGGACCAUCAAUCCAGACACUAAAAUUCAUGGCCUGAAGGUGUUUGAGGACCUCUCCUGAUGUGAACUCAACACUAUCAACAGUCUGCUAAGAGAUAAACAAGAUCUGGGGGUACUGGUUAGUUCAUAAUGCUCCACCUAUAGGGUUGCAGACCCCUUCAGGUCUUGGGUACUUUCUCUAGUUCCUACAUUGGGGACCCUGUUUGUUCCAUCCUAUAGAUGACUGUGAGAAUCCACUUCUGUAUUUGCUAGGCACUGGCAAAGCCUCACAGGAGACAGCUAUAUCAGGGUCUUUUCAGCAAAAAUCUUGCUUGCAUAUGCAGUAGUGUCUGUGUUUGGUGGCUGAUUAUGGGAUGAAAUCCCAGGUGGGGCAGUCUCUGGAUGGUCCAUCCUUUCAUCUUAGCUCCAAACUUUGUCUCUGCAACUCCUUCCAAGGAUAUUUUAUUCCCUAUUCCUGGGAGGAAUGAAGUAUCCACGCGUUGGUCUUCUUGAUUUUCUUGUGUUUUGGAAGUUGUAUCUUGGGUAUUCUAGGUUUCUGGGCUAAUAUCCACUUAUCAGUGACUGCAUAUCAUGUGACUUCUUUUGUGAUUGGGUUACCUCACUCAGGAUGAUAUCCUCCAGAUACAUCCAUCUGCCCGAGAAUUUCAUAAAUUUAUUGUUUUUAAUAGCUGAGUAGUAUUGUGUAAAUGUACCACAUUCAUUUUCUAUAUCCAUUCCUCUGUUGAGGGGCAUCUGGGUUCUUUCCAGCUUCUGGCUAUUACAAAUAAGGCUGCUAUGAACAUAAUGGAGCAUGUGUCCUUAUUACCAGUUGGAACACCUUCUGGGUAUAUGCUCAGGAGAUGUAUUGCUGGAUCAACUGGUAGUACUAUGUCCAGUUUUCUGAGGAACAGCCAGACUGAUUUCCAGAGUGGUUGUACCAGCUUGCAAUCCCACCAGCAAUGGAGGAGUGCUCCUCUUUCUCCACAUCCUUACCAGCAACUGCUAUCACCUGAAUUUUUUAUCUUAGCCAUUCUGAUUGUUGUGAGGUGGAAUCUCAGGGUUGUUUUGAUUUGCAUUUCCCUGAUGAUUAAGGAUGUUGAACAUUUUUUCAAGUGCUUCUCAGCCAUUCAGUAUUCCUCAGUUGAGAAUUCUUUGUUUAGCCCUGUACCCCAUUUUUAAUGGGGUUAUUUGAAUUUCUGGAGUUCAGCUUCUUGAGCUCUUUGUAUAUAUUGGAUAUUAUUUCCCUAUCAGAUUUAGGAUUGGUAAAAAUCCUUUCCCAAUCUGUUGGUGGCCUUUUUGUCUUAUUGACAGUAUCUUUUGCCCUACAGAAAGUUUGCAAUUUUAUGAGGUCCCAUUUGUCGAUUCUUGAUCUUAAUGCACAGGCCAUUGCUGUUCUGUUUAGGAACAUUUCCCUUGUUCCCAUAUCUUCGAGGGUUUUCCCCACUUUCUCCUCUAUAAAUUUCAGUGUCUCUGGUUUUACGUGGAGUUCUUUGAUCCACUUAGACUCGAGCUUUGGUAGAGGGAUUCUUUACAGAAGUAACUGAUGCUUGUGAAUAGCAUCCCUUUUCCACCCUCACAUCCCUUUGGCCAAAAAUAUUUUGGACUUGGAAUUACCACUGUCUUCCUUUGUCCUAAUUUUCCCACUACUCAUUCGAAAGAAAAUGAAAAGAAAACUCUCUUUGUUUUUAGAGCAACACUUUUGGAACCGGAUUUACCAGAAUCCCAUGGUAUGUCUUCUUCCAUCUCUGACACUAUGGCUCAUGAGAGUGUCCCACAUUGCCAUUACUGUAAAAAUAGGAAACGUUCUACUGACUACAGCAUAUCCUCUGAAUCCUCCAACAACAGCUGGAUCCUGUCUUAUCUUCCAAUCUUUCCUGAAAGAACAACUUGGCAAAUCCAGGGCAAUAUUGUCCCCGAUUCCCCGGAAAAGGAAUUGCCCGAGUCCAGGAACUGAAGCACACCACUGCCUACCUUUCAGCUGACCCACACUGAGAAGUCAGAUCUUUUCCAGAAUUUUGCUGUCCUUCCUCCCUUACAAGCUCAUGGCUCUUUUAUUAGCUCUAAUUUACAAUCCCUAGAUCUGUUAGUCAGGAGAGAGCAGCACGGACAUAUGUCUCAGAAGGUUUCUACUCUGCAGAAACAAGUGGUACCUCUGCCUGUGAAGAAGUCAUGGAAAACACUCAAUCAUCUGAUGGAUGUACAAGGAGUUCCUGAACAAGAGAUCCCCCACACUCAGUUACCUACACCCAUCCCUCAGAGCACCAAGCCAAGUACCAACAGAUCUUCAGGUGUUCCAUCGAUUCAUCUACAUGUGAACAUCGGAGUCAAUUCUGAAGUAAAUAGGACAGAAGCCAGAAUGUCAUGGCCACUUACCUCCAACAAGCAGUUAGAAUCUGAGAAUGACCACCAAAUCAUUAGAUACUAUCCUUUGGUUAUAUCAAUGGACAGGCCAUCUUCCAGACAUGUAGAAGUUAAUGCAAUUCAGGAAGAAACCACUUUACAGAAAAAGGAUCCAAAGCAAGUGUUAGAGCUGAAUAUAGAACAGAGGGUCAUAGGUCUUCCAGAAGAAAGGAUGAAGUCACAUAAGGCACAAGGAACUCAUGCAAAGCUGACACCCAAGCCACCAUGUUCAGCCACAGACAGAAUAAAGGUCACUCCGAUGGCAUUGCUUCAGGUUAUGGAUUCAAUGGGAAUAAUCCCAGAUUCACAUUCAGAGGUAACCGACCCUGUGAGGAAAGCAAAAGAUAAGACUGACUUAUCACAGCCAUCAAAUGAAGCUCAAAAAGUGAGUGUACCUCCCAAGUCAUCAAAUCCAGUAAUUGAAUCCAUAAAUAUAGUAAAUCCUGAGCAUCAAACAAGGGAACCAAAGAUUACUAACCAAUCAGAAAUGAAUCUGCAUGAAUACACAGCAAACACCGAAUUGACAUUGCCUGAAGUUGAAGUCUAUGCAAAUAGAUACAGGACUAGAGUCACAAGAUGGAAGCCAGAGAGAUGACCCAAGCUUCUUUCUCAUCUUCAGCACCGCAUCUAUCACCACAGCAAGCUGGGCCCUCAAGCAUCCACCAGGUAGAUGUCUGCCUAAGUGCAAUGCUGGUCUCAUAUAACAGACAGGUGCAAGCCAAACUAAGUUAGAAGGGUAAGGAUGU
Mus musculus (house mouse) is the source of this 4329-nucleotide long non-coding RNA. RefSeq annotates it as RIKEN cDNA A230098N10 gene. Lineage: Eukaryota; Metazoa; Chordata; Mammalia; Rodentia; Muridae. The transcript is spliced from 2 exons. The record is from RefSeq and is a predicted model, not a curated record.